CCCUUAGAUGCUCUGGGCCGCACGCGCGCUACACUGGUCGAUGCAACGAGUUUCUUUCCUUGGCCGACAGGCCUGGGCAAUCUUUGAACAUCGAUCGUGACCGGGAUAGAUUCUUGUAAUUUUUGAUCUUAAACGAGGAAUUCCUAGUAAACGCAAGUCAUCAGCUUGCAUUGAUUACGUCCCUGCCCUUUGUACACACCGCCCGUCGCACCUACCGAUUGAAUGGUCCGGUGAAAUCUCCGGACUGGCGUGAGUCGGAGCAAUCUGACAAACACCGGAAAGUUGAUUAAACCUUACCAUUUAGAGGAAGGUGAAGUCGUAACA
This 324-nucleotide ribosomal RNA is filed under the name uncultured eukaryote. RNAcentral describes it as "partial 18S ribosomal RNA". It matches the Rfam family "Eukaryotic small subunit ribosomal RNA", at positions 1470 to 1796 of the family's 1831-position model. The record is from RNAcentral.